GGAUAUGUAGCUUAAUGGUAAAGCGCCCACGCCGGACAACAGAAUACACUGUGGGCGCCCACGAUAGUUUUACCAGAUGCUCUUGUCGGAAUAGACAAGGGUUGGUAAAGUGGGAGACUGUACGUUCGAGUCGUACCACGUCUU
This is a non-coding RNA of Alternaria sp. BMP 2799, 144 nucleotides long. The record is from the annotation of a GenBank genome assembly. NCBI's taxonomy places the organism in Eukaryota, Fungi, Ascomycota, Dothideomycetes, Pleosporales, Pleosporaceae.